Molecule: small nucleolar RNA, 76 nt
Filed under: Nelumbo nucifera (sacred lotus)
Lineage: Eukaryota; Viridiplantae; Streptophyta; Magnoliopsida; Proteales; Nelumbonaceae
Description: Small nucleolar RNA R66
Rfam family: Small nucleolar RNA R66
About the family: snoR66 is a C/D box small nucleolar RNA, which acts as a methylation guide for 18S ribosomal RNA in plants. snoR66 has been alternatively named snoZ269 in rice.
Source: Rfam by way of RNAcentral
UCCUAUGAUGGCAUGGAAAUCUUUGAGACCUGAUUGUCAUAUUUGAUGAAAAACGUAAGCAUUUUUUUCUGAGGAU